This is a long non-coding RNA of Salvia splendens (bonfire salvia), 219 nucleotides long. RefSeq lists it as uncharacterized. The transcript has 2 exons. NCBI's taxonomy places the organism in Eukaryota, Viridiplantae, Streptophyta, Magnoliopsida, Lamiales, Lamiaceae. The record is from RefSeq and is a predicted model, not a curated record.
CCGAUUCGUUUUGUCAAAGAAGGUUGAGCAGGAUGUUGAGCUAGCCUUAUGAUGCGUCGUGUCUUCAUACAUAGGCGUGAUCCUUGACUCUCCCUUUGAACCUUAUUUCCGCUGCUAGGUUUUUGAAUCAUGUUUCAAUACUUAAAUCUUUUCGUACUAUGUUGAGCAUGUUUUGGUCACGUUAGGUUUUAAACGUUUAUUUACAUUAUUGUCUGAAAA